UACUGCUGACAUCUAGGUGGUCAUGGUUUUUGAUUGAACUGUAUUCACGUUGGCUGCGAUAGAACCAGUCAAUCGAUAUAAUUACUUUAAAUUUAGACUCACCUGGUGUCAAGUGGUU
Bombyx mori (domestic silkworm) is the source of this 118-nucleotide non-coding RNA. The record is from RefSeq and is marked provisional. NCBI's taxonomy places the organism in Eukaryota, Metazoa, Arthropoda, Insecta, Lepidoptera, Bombycidae.